RNAcentral lists this ribosomal RNA (211 nucleotides) under Clostridioides difficile. RNAcentral's name for it is "partial 23S ribosomal RNA". It matches the Rfam family "Bacterial large subunit ribosomal RNA", at positions 2457 to 2667 of the family's 2925-position model. Lineage: Bacteria; Bacillati; Bacillota; Clostridia; Peptostreptococcales; Peptostreptococcaceae. The record is from RNAcentral.
UAAAAGCUACCCUGGGGAUAACAGGCUUAUCUCCCCCAAGAGUCCACAUCGACGGGGAGGUUUGGCCCCUCGAUGUCGGCUCAUCACAUCCUGGGGCUGUAGUAGGUCCCAAGGGUUGGGCUGUUCGCCCAUUAAAGUGGUACGCGAGCUGGGUUCAGAACGUCGUGAGACAGUUCGGUCCCUAUCCGUCGCAGGCGUAGGAAAUUUGAGA